This 401-nucleotide ribosomal RNA is filed under the name uncultured bacterium. Its description in RNAcentral is "bacterial SSU rRNA". It matches the Rfam family "Bacterial small subunit ribosomal RNA", at positions 356 to 774 of the family's 1533-position model. The record is from RNAcentral.
CGGGAAUUUUGGGCAAUGGGCGAAAGCCUGACCCAGCAACGCCGCGUGAGGGAUGAAGUAUUUCGGUAUGUAAACCUCGAAAGAAUGGGAAGAAUAAAUGACGGUACCAUUUAUAAGCUCCGGCUAACUACGUGCCAGCAGCCGCGGUAAUACGUAGGGAGCAAGCGUUGUUCGGAUUUACUGGGCGUAAAGGGCGCGUAGGCGGCGCGGUAAGUCACUUGUGAAAUCUCUGAGCUUAACUCAGAACGGCCAAGUGAUACUGCUGUGCUAGAGUGCGGAAGAGGCAACCGGAAUUCUUGGUGUAGCGGUGAAAUGCGUAGAUAUCAAGAGGAAUACCUGAGGCGAAGGCGGGUUGCUGGGCCGACACUGACGCUGAUGCGCGAAAGCCAGGGGAGCAAACG